CUUGCUUCCAGCCUUGAACAGCUGACUGGGCGCUGGCCGGGCCUGCGGGGCUGGGCCGGGCCCUGGGCCAGGCCCUGCUGUGCUGCAGCGGGGCUGGGCAUGGUGCAGCUGAAAUUCUGAGUUUUGCCAGCAACGGCCAGGCAGGGGGAGAGGAAGCCACCGGCCCACAGUGUGCUGCUGCUGCUGAGUCCUAGCCUGGCUGCUCAGAUCCCAGCUGCCCGUCUCGCCUGCAGCGCAGCCGCCAAAAAAUCCUCCACUGUGAACAGCUCCGGCCACUGCCCGGCAGGGAUGGCGUGACCAGCAGCGACAGAGACACCUAAACUCCACAUGCUGAGAUAACACCCUUCCCUGUUUGGAGAAUAAAUGCACUGCAGUGUGUGAGGUGCUUGGAGACUGUGGAAGAGAGGUCUAUGCAAGAGCCUCCAUCGAGCAGGCUCUGGCCACAGAACUGAAGGGUGCCACACCAACAUGCAGAGUGUGCUUACAAGGCUGGGAAAUUCAUCAGGGAAUCAGACAUGUCAAUCACCAAAUGGCCUCUCUUCAAAACCUGAAGGCCUCCAGGGAACAGGCAGGAUCCAAACCACUGAACCUCAUGUAACGUUCAGAAGCAACAAUACCUGUCUGGAGAAAGAGCUUCCCUCUGUCUGCAUUGACUAAAAUACACAAUAGUGGAAUUCUCUUUGCCUCUGUUUUCACCAAAUCAUAGUUCUCAACGGGGUUUAAAUAUGUUCUCUCAAUUGGAGAUACGUUCAAAAAUCCCUCUACAAAUGGCAAAAUAGAAUUUAAAGCAACAAAAAGGGCAUUGCUUUAAGUCUAGCUAGAUUGCAGUUAUUAUGAAAAAAGAUAUUUUAUAUUUCUUUAGUAAAUUCCACAGUAAAGCAUUUAGCAGCCUACCGCAAUAUGUUGGAUCAUAUGCUUAAGACCCACUAAUUUAAAUGAAAAAUAGAGAUAGGCAUUUACAUCUCCUACAUAUUCCAUCUCUCUCUUCCUAGCACACAUCUUUGCAGACUCUUGAAUGCACACAGAAAUCCCUUUGGCCACGUUGUGGUUUCUGUAGUUGUACUGCUGAGCUGAUUGUUUGGAAAGACCAAUGCAUUCAACUGGCAGUCAAGAAGAAUGAGUUCUCAAACUGCAAAUGAAGGGAAAAAUGGAGAAGAAAUCCCAUUUUUACUCACAGGGUGUGGAGUGAGUUAUCAACCAUGCCGGAAAGGGGAACCACAAAUUCCUGGAGUCAAGAUGCAUCCUAUUUUUCAUCCUAUUAGAGGAAAGUGCUAGAGGAAAAGAGUCCCCAUCCUCUGUCAGGACCCUCAUCUCAGCCAUGACCAGAAUUCCAGCUGUUACAUCCAUGGAUGGUGCCACAGAGGUAUUCCUCAAAGCCUGUCUCAUAUUUCAGACCAGGCUAAUCUCACCUGUGAGUACACUGUGUAUCAAGUGUGUCACAAAGGAGAAGACUGCUACAUGAGACUUCGGGUGUUGUAGAUGAGGGCAGAGUGGGCUGAAAACUGUAGGAAAUUUAAACCUAGUUCCAGUUCACAGUGAUGUCAAACCACAGGAAAUGAAAGCAGAAAGUGGAGAUUUAUGAAAAAAGUGGCAGGAGCCAUUACUAUGUGUGCACUAUUGAUUGAAGAAGAUCGUGUUGCCCCCAAAUUGAAAUGGCUUUUACGUGUUUGGGCCCAUCCUGACAAAAACACUUUCUUCUCUGUUGAUGAGGCCAUGUUGCCAUGGAGAUGCAGGGCUGGAUGCUUGGCAAAGGCACGUUUCGAUAAGGCAGGUCUAAUGGAUAUAUUUUUACAACAUUCACAGUUCCUUUCUGUUCAUUUUCUCCUGAGCAGACUUGUCCACUUCUUCCAUUUUGCCACUUGAUGAAAAAAUAUCUUUUUAAUCUUUUAAUUUAGCUUAGAUUUCCCUCCCUCCAGCACCGAAUUUGCCAAUUAAACUACUUAUCUGAGAUGCUCCACACCAAGGCCAAGUGCUUGCUUUUCAUUAUCAGGUUGGGUGGCUUCUUUUCACCCUCCCUGCUCCAUGUCUGAACCUCUUUGCUACUUGCUGUAUGUUAUAGAUGUUGUGAUACAAGAUGUGAGCUUAGAGUUUCAUGCUAGAGGAAGAGGCCAUAGGUCCAACUUUUCUUUAAGGCAGCCCUUCUGAAGUCCUUAGGACAACAAAACAAUGUUGUGGUGGCUGGUACACGUCUUGGAGCACACACUGAUGCUGCCUGGCCCAAAAGCAGGGAUAAUAAUACAGCAUCACCUAGAAAAGAGGCAGAGUUUACUUAAAUGUUUUUAAUUCUGGGUGUCUGUUUAUCUUUUUACUAUAAGCAAAUUCAAGUCUCUUUUAAACUAAUUUGAAUAAAAGAGCAAUAUCUGUGCUUAUGCAGGUACACAAAUACAAGCAUUCCUACACACAGAUAAAUAACUUCAC
Molecule: long non-coding RNA, 2418 nt
Organism: Prinia subflava (tawny-flanked prinia)
Lineage: Eukaryota; Metazoa; Chordata; Aves; Passeriformes; Cisticolidae
Exons: 3
Source: RefSeq, a predicted model, not a curated record